RNAcentral lists this ribosomal RNA (253 nucleotides) under uncultured bacterium. RNAcentral describes it as "partial 16S ribosomal RNA". It matches the Rfam family "Bacterial small subunit ribosomal RNA", at positions 524 to 776 of the family's 1533-position model. The record is from RNAcentral.
GACGAACCGUGCGAACGUUGUUCGGAAUCACUGGGCUUAAAGGGCUCGUAGGCGGCCAACUAAGUCAGACGUGAAAUCCCUCGGCUUAACCGGGGAACUGCGUCUGAUACUGGAUGGCUUGAAUCCGGGAGAGGGAUGCGGAAUUCCAGGUGUAGCGGUGAAAUGCGUAGAUAUCUGGAGGAACACCGGUGGCGAAGGCGGCAUCCUGGACCGGCAUUGACGCUGAGGAGCGAAAGCCAGGGGAGCAAACGGG